GAUGAACGCUGGCGGCGUGCUUAAUACAUGCAAGUCGAGCGAACAAACGCGGCUCUUCCUCCUCAGACGUUACCAACGGGCGGGUGAGUCACGCGUAACUUACCUACAUCUAUGACUGGGGUAACUUCGGGAAACCGUAGCUCAUACCGGAUAAUAUCUUGAACCGCAUGGUUCUAUAAUGAUAUACGGUUUUGCUAUGAAUUAUCGAUGGAUCCGCGCCGCAUUAGCUAGUUGGUAAGGUAACGGCUUACCGAGGAGACGGUGGGUAGCCGACCUGAGAGGGUGAUCGGCCACACUGGAACGGAACCACGGUCCCGACUCCUACGGGACGCAGCAGUAGGGAAUCGGCCGCAGUAGGCGGGAGCCUUGCGGAGCGACGCCACGUGAGUGAUGGAGGCCUUCGGAGCGUAAAACUCUGUUUUUAGUUGUAAACAUAUGUGUGUGUAGCAGAGCACAUCGUGACGGUACCUAAACAAAAAGCCACGGCUAACUACGUG
RNAcentral lists this ribosomal RNA (497 nucleotides) under uncultured bacterium. RNAcentral describes it as "partial 16S ribosomal RNA". It matches the Rfam family "Bacterial small subunit ribosomal RNA", at positions 28 to 507 of the family's 1533-position model. The record is from RNAcentral.